UAAAUCCUACGGGGGGCAGCAGUGAGGAAUAUUGGUCAAUGGGCGGUAGCCUGAACCAGCCAAGUAGCGUGAAGGAUGAAGGUUCUAUGGAUUGUAAACUUCUUUUAUAAAGGAAUAAAGUGAGGCACGUGUGCCUUUUUGCAUGUACUUUAUGAAUAAGGAUCGGCUAACUCCGUGCCAGCAGCCGCGGUAAUACGUAGGAUCCGAGCGUUAUCCGGAUUUAUUGGGUUUA
RNAcentral lists this ribosomal RNA (232 nucleotides) under uncultured bacterium. RNAcentral describes it as "partial 16S ribosomal RNA". It matches the Rfam family "Bacterial small subunit ribosomal RNA", at positions 333 to 562 of the family's 1533-position model. The record is from RNAcentral.